AUAUAUAUAGAGUCCGGCUAUGGUGCUUGUAAAAGCACCAAGCACUUGGUGCUUGUAAAUUUUUUACUGUUAGAUCUACUUCUCGGAUCGUUUUCAACCAUUAGAUUAUACUAUUCAACCAACCACCCACUCAACCCUAGGGGGCCUACAUCACCCUAACCGCAUAUCUCUUAAUCCAAUGGCUACAAAUCUACAAGCAUCAAUUACUUGGUACUUUUAAAAGCAUAGGAGCUCAAUUAUAUAUAUAUAUAUAUAUAUAUAUAUAUAUAUAUAUAUAUAUAUAUAUAUAUAGGCUGGGGCUACUAUACUCAUAUGAGUAUAGAGCCCUUUGUGCUCAUAAGUUUUCAACCGUUCGGAUGAAAAAAUGUGCGGUUAGGAUGAGAGUGGUUACGGUUAGAUUGAUAGUGAGCCCCUAGGGUUGAGUGGGUGGUUGGUUGAAUAGUAUAAUCUAACGGGUGAAAAUGGGGUAGAUCUAACGGUUAAAAACUUAUGAGUACAAGAGGCUCUAUACUCAUAAGAGUAUAGUAGCCGGACUCUAUAUAUAUAUAUAUAGUACGUCUCCUAUACUUUCGAAAGUAAGGAGAGCUCCGUACUUGUAAGUUAUUUUCGAUGAUAGGACAUUCGAUUCGACGAUCGGCUCCGUUAAGUAUAAUCUACUCUAUUGGAACUAUCUAGAAACCAAAUUUUAUAAUUUUUUGACAUUAAUUACCAAGCGAUCAAAAGGUCUCAAAAAUGACUAUUUUAACGGCCGAUGUGGCAUGUUUUUAAGUUCAACGGUGUAGAAGUAUCCAAAUUACAUAAAAAUUUAAUAAAAAAUUCUACUUAAUAUCAAUAUCAAGAUCAAUAUUUCCGAUUUGAAAUUUAGUCCUUUAUCACUAUUUUUUAUGAAAUUUUUAUUUUCGGCCCUUCAUUUUGAGGUUACUCGUUCACUAGAUAAACGAAGUCAAAAAAUUAUGAAAUUUGGUUUCUAGAUAGUUCCAAUAGCGUAGAUCAAGUUUAACGGAACCGAUCGCUGAAUCGGAUAUCUCAUCAUCGAAAAUAACUUACAAGCAACGGAGGCCUCCGUACUUUCGAAAGCAUAGGAGCCUAGCUCUAUAUAUAUAUAUAUAUAUAUAUAUAUAUAUAUAUAUAUAGUUGGGCUAGAAUACUAUCGAUAGCAAACCGGUACUUUUGCCACCCGUUUAUUUUUGAUGAUAGAGCCUCCAAAUCGACGAUCAGUACCGUUCAAUAUGAUAAAUACCACUUGAAGUGUUUAGAAAUCAAAUUUCAAAUCUUUUCGACACCAUUUGCCUAUUGAUCAAAGGGUUUCAAAAUUUGUAAUUUUAAUGGUUGAUAUGAGGCGUUUUCUCGUUUAACGGCGUAAAGAUAUCCAAAUCAAUUGAAUUUUUGUUAGAAAAUUUUUUAAGCUAAUUAAAACAAGAUCUAUACUCUUGAUCUUGAUUACAAGACUCCUAUCAUCAUUUUUUUAAGAAUAUUCAUUUUUGGCCAUUCAUUUUUGUGUCUACUCGAUGGAUAAGAGAACAAUAUCGAAAAUAUAUGAAAUUUGAUUUCUAAAUACUUUAAAUGGUAUAGAUCAUGUUCAACGGUGUCGAUCAUCAAUUUGGAGGCUCCAUCAUAAAAAACAAAUGCAUGGCAAAAGUGCCGGUUUGCUAUUGAUAGUAUUCUAGCUCAACUCUAUAUAUAUAUAUAUCAUUGUAAAUCUUACAUUUCUUUCAUCUUAAGAUUCACAAUAUUUUUUAAAAUUUUUUAAUUUUAAAGAAUAUUAAUAUAAUUAUUGAAAAAUUAUAGAUUUUUGGAUAGAUAGAACAUAAUGUUA
RNAcentral lists this long non-coding RNA (1816 nucleotides) under Ananas comosus (pineapple). RNAcentral's name for it is "long non-coding RNA (ACOM_LNC003723)". Lineage: Eukaryota; Viridiplantae; Streptophyta; Magnoliopsida; Poales; Bromeliaceae. The record is from RNAcentral.